This 136-nucleotide ribosomal RNA is filed under the name Synechococcus sp. DGGE band class 14. RNAcentral describes it as "partial 16S ribosomal RNA". Lineage: Bacteria; Bacillati; Cyanobacteriota; Cyanophyceae; Synechococcales; Synechococcaceae. The record is from RNAcentral.
CNGGNAAUUAGCCGUGGCUUAUUCCUCAAGUACCGUCAUUUCUUCUUCCUUGAGAAAAGAGGUUUACAGCCCAGAGGCCUUCAUCCCUCACGCGGCGUUGCUCCGUCAGGCUUGCGCCCAUUGCGGAAAAUUCCCA